This 2061-nucleotide ribosomal RNA is filed under the name Triticum aestivum (bread wheat). Its description in RNAcentral is "partial small subunit ribosomal RNA". Lineage: Eukaryota; Viridiplantae; Streptophyta; Magnoliopsida; Poales; Poaceae. The record is from RNAcentral.
AUGGCGGGCGUGCUGCUGCUGCUGCUGCUGCUCCACCUCAUACCGGGGUUGGCAACGGCGAUCGGGUCCAUCUGUGGCGGCGGCCGCAACUACAAAGCCGACAGCACCUACCAGUCCAACCUCGCCGUGCUGGCCGCCACCCUGCCCAGCAACGCCUCCUCCUCCCCACAGCUCUUCAUCACCGCCAACGCCACCGCCUCCUCUUCCCCGCAGCUCUUCGCCAGCGCCAGCGCCAGCAUGUACAUGCUGGCGCUCUGCCGCCGCGACACCACCAACCUCACCGCAUGCACAGAGUGCCUCAACUCCGCGUUAAAUUACGCGCUGAAAAUGUGCCCGAACAGCAGGACCGCAACAGUCUACUUCGACUACGACGAGGUAAACGCGCUUCGACCAGGCUGCCUCCUUGGAUUCUCCGACGACGGCAGCUUCCUCAGCCCGGCGUCCGGCACUACCGGGAACGGUACCUUAUUCCAGUAUUUUAGCACGGCGAACAUCCGCGGCAACGACGGUGUCGUCGCUGAUGCCGUCAGGGAGCUCCUGAGGCAGACGGCACAGGACGCGGCCACCACGGCGAGGAGGUUCGCCACAGCGUUCAUGGACUCCAUUGGCCGCGGCACCACGACAACGCUCUACUCCCUGGCGCAGUGCACGCCGGACCUGUCCACUGGCUACUGCCUGGCGUGCCUCGAGCAGCUCCUGGGCACCGUCACCACCACCAACUCCUUGCGCCUAGGAGGACGGAUCUUCCUGCUCCGCUGCAACGUCAGGUUCGAGGCGUUCAUGUUCUUCGACGACAAAAACAUACGGCGGAUUCCAUCUCCAUCAUUCCUCGCUCAGGCACCGGCGGCGCCUACGGCUACAGCAGGCAAGAGACAUGAAGUCAAACCUUGGGUAAUUGCCUUAUCGGUGGCAGCUCCAGUAGCGCUAGCUGCUCUCUGCUUCAUCCUUUACCAUGGUUGGCAUCUUAGAACAAAGGGCACAAAAGAUAAAGGGACGACGUUGCAAGGAAAGACUACUCACGAGUUUCAAGAAAGAGAUGAACUAGUUUGGGAAAUGGAAACAGAGUUGGCUGAGUUUGCAGUAUUUGACUUUCAUCAGAUAUUAGAGGCUACAGUUAACUUUUCCGAGGAAAACAAGCUUGGCCAAGGUGGAUUUGGCCCUGUUUAUAAGGGCCAUUUACCUGACGGAAAUGAGAUAGCAGUGAAGAGACUUGAUUCACAUUCACAACAAGGUUUCAUUGAGUUCAAAAAUGAAGUUGAGCUCAUAGCGAAACUUCAACACAGAAAUUUGGUUAGGCUCAUGGGAUGUUGCUCUCAAGGAGAGGAGAAAAUACUGGUCUACGAAUACUUGUCAAAUAAAAGCUUGGACUUCUUCAUCUUUGAUGAAAAUAGAAAAGCACUACUGGACUGGGACAUACGUCUUGCAAUAAUUGUGGGGAUAGCAGAAGGACUUCUUUACCUUCAUAAGCACUCUAGGUUGCAUGUUAUACAUCGAGAUCUUAAACCAAGCAACAUUCUCUUGGAUAGCGAAAUGAAUGCAAAAAUUUCAGAUUUUGGACUAGCAAAAAUAUUCAGUUCAAAUAACACCGAAGCAAAUGCUACAAGGAAAGUAGUUGGUACACUUGGCUACAUGGCACCCGAGUAUGCUUUCCACGGUCUCUUCUCUAUCAAAUCAGAUGUCUUCAGCUUCGGUGUUUUGACUCUUGAGAUCCUUAGCGGGAAAAGGAAUUCUCAUGAAUGUGGAAAUUUCAUCAACCUCCUUGGACAUGCUUGGCAAUUAUUUGAAGAGGAAAGCUGGGUCGAUCUCAUUGAUACGGCAUUGCUUCCCAACGGUCAUUCGGAAGAAAUGAUGAGGUGCAUUAACAUUGCAUUGUUAUGUGUACAAGAGAGUGCAAUUGAUCGACCAACCAUGUUGGAUGUUGUCGCAAUGCUAAGCAGCAAGACCAUGAUCGUAGAUAAGCCUAAGCACCCGGCAUAUUUCACGGGGGACAAAGAAGCACCCACUACAAAUCAGUCGUGUAGUGUUAAUGAUAUAACUAUAUCUACACUAACCCCUAGAUAG